CAAUAGCGUAUAUUAAUGUUGUUGCAGUUAAAAAGCUCGUAGUUGGAUUUCUGGUGGGAGCGGCCGGUCCGCCGUAAGGUGUGUACUUGGUUGUCUCCUGUCAUCCUUGUGGGAACUGCUCUGGCAUUAAGUUGUCGGGGUUAGGGAACACAUCGUUUACUGUGAAAAAAUUAGAGUGUUUAAAGCAGGCUUAUGCCGUUGAAUACAUUAGCAUGGAAUAAUAAGAUAGGACUUUGGCGUCUAUUUUGUUGGUUUGCACACCAAGGUAAUGAUUAAUAGGGAUAGUUGGGGGUAUUCGUAUUUAAUUGUCAGAGGUGAAAUUCUUGGAUUUAUGAAAGACGAACUUCUGCGAAAGCAUUUGCCAAAGAUGUUUUCAUUAA
Molecule: ribosomal RNA, 380 nt
Filed under: uncultured eukaryote
Lineage: Eukaryota
Description: partial 18S ribosomal RNA
Rfam family: Eukaryotic small subunit ribosomal RNA
Source: RNAcentral